CAGUAGCCGCGGUAAUACGAAGGGUGCAAGCGUUACUCGGAAUUACUGGGCGUAAAGCGUGCGUAGGUGGUGGUUUAAGUCCGUUGUGAAAGCCCUGGGCUCAACCUGGGAAUUGCAGUGGAUACUGGGUCACUAGAGUGUGGUAGAGGAUAGUGGAAUUUCCGGUGUAGCAGUGAAGUGCGUAGAGAUCGGGAGGAACAUCAGUGGCGAAGGCGGCCAUCUGGGACAACACUGACGCUGAAGCACGAAAGCGUGGGGAGCAAACAGGAUUAGAUACCCCCGUAGUCCCUGUCUCUUAUAC
RNAcentral lists this ribosomal RNA (301 nucleotides) under uncultured bacterium. RNAcentral describes it as "partial 16S ribosomal RNA". It matches the Rfam family "Bacterial small subunit ribosomal RNA", at positions 509 to 807 of the family's 1533-position model. The record is from RNAcentral.